This 29-nucleotide non-coding RNA is filed under the name Homo sapiens (human). The record is from RNAcentral. Lineage: Eukaryota; Metazoa; Chordata; Mammalia; Primates; Hominidae.
UGAGGUAUCUGUAGAAGUGAGGGAGGAGC